CAAAACCUUGCUAAAUUCCAAUUUGUCCUCAUUCUUGACAGAAGUAAGGCACAAAACUGAAGCUGUUUUCUUGUGGACAAUCUGGUUUUUAAAAAACAAAUAUCCUUCAUUAUCCAUGAAAAAUUAAUUGAAAAAAUUAUUCUAAGCAUAAGAAAAAGUUCAGAGAAAUCACCGCUCCAAGUCGUGACUUGCCCUUCACAAUGGCAUAAGGAACCUCCAUUUUCCGGCACAAUGCAGGCAACCAAACAACAAGCUCAAUUGGAUCUACAUCAUGUGCAAUAACGACCAGCUGGGCCUUGUUCUACACGCAUCAAGAAAAAAACAAUAUUACCUAGACAAGAACACAAAAAAUUGGCCUUGCAAUUUCUCCCCACGGAUCCCAUAAAAGGUUGAAAGGAAGGUGUGUGUGUGUGUAAACAGAGGGAUGAGAAUCAAUGUGUAAACCAGCCAAAUAAUUGACAGAAAUGAGAGGAAAGAGGUUAAGAGAUGAAACAAAGCAAUCAAUUCAGAAGUCAUCUUCUCCUAUAAAACCUUAAUUACAACAGAACUCCCAAAUAGGUCAAUUAGAAAAGGUACACAAUGCACCAGAACAUAUAUUAUCACUUUAUUACCCAAUUAGCAGCAGAGAUAAUAAUAAUAAAAAAAAAACUGUAGAUGCUAACAUCAAUACCUGCUCAAUGAGGUAAGUAACAUGGUUAAGACCAUAUUUAAUAACAAUAGGCUUCUUUGUUUCCACAGUCUUCCCCUCAGCUUCAGCUUGUGCUCUCUUAAGAAGCCUUUCCUUCUUAGCAGCCUUGUCCUCAGGUCUAUAUUUUAGGAACAACUUGAAAAGUUGCGUAGCUGUAACACAAAAUGACGAAAACAAAACAACAAAUAUUAUCUGCAGCUUCAGUAAUUUAAAAAAAUGCAUCAAAGCACUACAAUAUCUAUAAGAAUAAUUGGCGUUACAUUUAAGCACCAACAUCCAUGAUCCUGGGAGCCAAAGUUUGUUAACUUUUCUAGAUUGGGGAUGGAAGAUUUACCGAGGUUCUUGUCAAGUGUUUUUGUGAACUGGUUAACAGCAGGAGGGACCUUCAAACGCUGUUUCAGAAUCCUUCUUUGCCUCUGAAUACGAACAACAUGUGGCCACUUGACAAAUCUAGUCAAAUCCUUCUUUGGUGGAAGUGCACCACCAAUUCCAAACUGCUUUGGACGUUUUUCAAACAAAGGGUUCACUACCUUUUCCUGUAAUUAAUCAACAUCGGUGCACUAAACCUUUAGUUGCAAAGGAGCAAAGUAUAAACCCCAACUGUCAAUAAUGAAGCAGAAUUAUAAUAAUCACAUGCAAGUUCUAUGAAUUGAGUAUAAAUCAUAAUCUCUUAGCAUUUGUAUUCUCGACUUUUAGAAGUAUAUGAUUGCAUGAGAUUAAGGGGAUAGUUGCAGGAAAAAAUGGUUGGCUCUAGCUGGCUACAAAUUCAAAAUGGAAAUAAACGACGACAACCACAGAAGAGAGAAUGAGGGAGAGAGGGAGAUCACGCACAGGUUUCUUCUUUGCUGCCAGUGGGCCCUUCACACCUCUUUUGGGAGCCUGUAGUAAACAUAAAAAUAAGCCAACGAAUCAAAAAAAGGGAAAGAAACAAAGAACAUUAUUCCAAAAUAUGCAUGUCAAGAACAGAGCUGAUCAAAACAAUGGGUAAAAAUACCAUGUUUUUGGUCUUUUCCACCAAUAUAUACCCUGUAUGGUGCUUAUAAAUGCAACAUUUCUACACUAUAGCCUGAAAAAGUCCUCCAUCAUCCACCAAUAUAUACACUGUACGGUGCUUAUAAAUGCAACAUUUCUACACUAUAGCCUCAAAAAGUCCAUCAUCCACCAAUUUCCAAACCAUAUCACAUAGCCUCACAGCAGAGAUAUCAAAAAUAACAAAAUGCAAUGAAACUUCAAUUCAUACAACAAGAAGUGCAGCUAUUAACUAACACCCCAAUAAAAACAAACCAGCAGAAUCUCCAAAAAAAAUUUAACUCAAGAAAGUUUAAGUAUUUUGGGUACUUUUAAUACUUUUUUUUUCCAAUAAGUUUUCUGCCUUACCACACACAGUACAAAAAAAAACACUAGAAAGACUAAGACUGAAAUCUUAUUCACAUAGAGAAGUAAGAUCAUACACCGCCAUCCCAACAAAAAUAAAAGCAUCGGCGUAAAAAAAAAGAAGUACAAUUUUACACCAGAAAAUCAUCAGUUAAGCUUUUUGAGCACAAGAUAGACAACGUUGCAAUAGAAAAACAAAAGGGGCAUUAAAGAUGAGUGAUAUAUGUUACCAUCUAGAAGAGGAGACUUGCAGAUCGAAAACCUGAACGUGUUUGAGAUGAAAAUGGGUAGGGGCAGAAGAGCAGCAAAAACGGCUGCUUUAGUAGGGUUUGCCCAAACCCUAAAUUGUUCUUUCAGUUUACAUUUUGGUCCCUUCAUUAUGCUAAUUGGUUUAUUUUACUUCUACUUUAUCUUUAUUUUAUUUAUUAAGCCCUCCCUUCUUCUUAAAAUUUGAUCAAUUAUCAAAUUUUCCCAAUUCCUAAAAUCUUAAAAUUUGUCCAAAUGGAACAUCUUACAAAUUAUUUAUUUAACGAGAUAAAAUCUUCUACUUUCAAAUUAUAUCUCUUCUAAAAAAAAUAGAAUAUAUAUAUAUAUAUCAAACUAAAAAUUAUAUUUAAAGAGAAAAUUCUCUUUGAAAAAAUAAUAAUAAAUAUUUUAGUGUUUUUUUUAUGAAUCAAACAUUGCAUCACGACAAAAUGUCAGCAUUGAUUAUUUUUUUCAAAUAUAUUAUUGGUUUGUUUGUUGAUGUUAUAUACCCUUUAACAGUAUAAAAGUUUCAAGUUUUUUUAUCCUUAGCAUUAGACUUUUAUUUUGAAGGUUUUAAUCUUUUUAUGGUUUUUUCCAAUUUAAUAUUUAUCUAAUUUUUAAAAUAUUUUAUAUUUUUCUCUUUAUUUUUCAAUGUAAACUAAAGAUAAAUCUUAACUUUGUAUCUUAUUUUUAGAUGUUAAUUAGACAUUUAUAUUUCUCCUUACAUCGCUUUUGAUUUUUCGCAACUGUUACUUAUAUGUGUUUUUAUACUGUAUAUGAAUUUUAUUUAAAUUGUGUUUGCUAAUUUCUCUUUGACCUAUUAACUAAUCUAGUAUUUGUUUUUUAUUCUAAUCUCGUGGUUUAGUGCUUUGACUAGCUAUGUAACCCGCGCUCCGUCGCGGGUUAAAUAAAAAAAAAUUUAAAAGAAGUUCCUAAAAAAAAGAGGGUGUUUUGUCUAUUUUUUUAGUUUUUAGUUUUUUAACUUGUCGUGUCACUUUAUUUUGUAUCUAAACCAUCUGAAAAAUAUAUAAAAAAGAAGGGUUUAGGGUAGGAGAGAAAACACAUUUGAAAAAAAAAAGUUCCUUUCGGGUUUUUGCCGGAUCACCUGAGUUUUGGACUGAUCCGAUAGGUCAACUAGUUUACUCCGGGUCAAUUGCAGGCACAGAUUUUGAAUGAAAGAGACUCACCUAACGCUGCUGUGCUUGACCUACUAGCAAGACCCAAAGCGUUGGGUUCUGCUUUGGGCAUGACCCAAAUUGUUGGGUCCUGGUUAACAAAGAGUCCAAAGAUGUUGGGUCCUAGUGACAGAAGGGCCCAAUUGGACGUUGGGUCACGGUGGUAGACAAGGCCCAAAGCUAUUAUGUCCAGUGGCAGCAAGGCCCAAUUAGACGUUGGGUCAUGGUGAGGUGGGAGGCAGAGCCCAAAGCUGUUGAGUCUUGGUUCCUACUGGGGGCAGGACCUAAUGUUGAUGGGUCCUAUUAGCACUGAUGGCCUACUCCAAGCAGGACCAAACACUGUUGGGUCCUGUUGGGGGCAAGAUCUAACGCUGAUGGGUCCUAGUCGCAACAUGACCUAAAAUUAAUGGGUCUACUUCCAGCAGCACCCAACUCAAAUGGGUCUUACUCUCAGCCGAAUCCAAAUCUAUUUUGGGUCCUACUGGGGGAAGCUUUGGGUCCUGCUUCCACAAGAAUCCAAUGACGUUAGGUCAUGCUGGAUCCAUUAGAGUUGGGUCCUCCCUAGCAGGACCCAAGCAAAUUGCUACAAUGAAUGUCCGAUGGAAGAAAAAGAAAAGGAGAAGUUGCUCGACAAGCAGUUAUUAAGCAAAGCAUUAGCUUGGUAUCAAAUCCCAAGCUAAUAAAAUUAGAAUGCAUUUAAAAAUACUUAAAUUUAGAAUGCAUUUAAAAAUGCUUAAAUACAACCUUGAUAGAGGUAUCUAACCUUCCUUCCUUAUACAUGGAAAUCGAAUCCUAUUUUGUCUUUUUUUUGGAUAAAAAUGAUAGAUGAGAAUUUUUUUUCAUUUGAGACAAUAAAAUCUUAAUAAGACUCUGAAUUUUAUUCACUAAUGUUGUAAAUUUAAAAUAUCUUCUAUUACCCAAAAUUAAAUUAUAUUGGGUAAUAUUAUUCUAAUAUUAUAUAAUAUUAUGCCAUACAUUGGCGAGAAUAUUAUUUUGAUCUUUGUAUAUAUAUAAUGAAGAGAAAGUCAUCAUCGGUUCUCCAAAUCCAGCCCUCAACUUAUUAUUAUUCAUACCUAUCUACAAAAUUUAAUGGGCAAAAGAAUUACACAAUGCAACCGAGGAUACCAUGUGUGUGCAUGGCAUCUUUGUUCAAAUUUAUUAAUUUGUGUCUAAUUGAUUUUCUGGAUAAUCCAGUGUACAAAAAAAAAAUCAGUAAGAUAAACUAAAAAAAAUUUGGUUCCUUAUUUUUCUUCCUUUGUAUUUUUGAUCCCCUUAUCCAAAUUUUUUUGUUUUUCUUAUUUUUUUGUAUUUUGGUAUUUUUGAAAAAAGUAAUGUCAAUGUCAACAAUGAUUUUAAACUAAAAAUAUCAAAAACGACACAAAUAUAUCAAAAAUAUAUAUAUUUUUGGAUUCUUUGUUUUUGUUUUUGCUAUUCUUUUUGGAUUUUUCAAAAAAGUAAGAAAAAAGGACAAAAAAUCGGGUUAUAAGACUACUUGUCAAUUGAUAAGCACUAAUAUGUUAGUUCUAGAUAUCUCUCAUACCCCAAUUUAUAAGAACAACUCCAUUUCAUAAAGAAAAAAACAUAAUAUAUAUCAGCUGCAACAACUCUAAUUAAUAUCGAGUAUUAAUAAAGCAUUGACCAGGAACAUUUAGGAACAAUGUUUUAAUGCAAUAAAAAUCCCAUAAUUAUAAUAACUUUAUAAUUUUAUUUGCAAAAUAUUUUUGUUCCAAGAACUUUAUCUUUAAUCUACAUUUAUUAAUCAAAUAUUAUAUUUAUUAAUAAAAUUGUUGAUGAUUAUUAAAAAUAAAUAAGUCUUUAUUAAUAAAUUAAAUAUAUUUACAUGAAUAACGUCAAUAUCAAGUGUAACCAACUGAUUGACUACAAGGUAUAUACACUAAUUUUUUACCAUAACAAACUCUAUAGAUCUAGGUCUAAUUUGGUUUUGAAUCCCACAACUAUUUAGAACCUGCUACCAAAUACUUUUGAUCAUAGUUGCAAUCAAUAGACAAAUGGUAUCUUGAUCUAUUUUAUUGUAUUGCUAUACAACAUGAAGGAUCAAUUUAUUAGUCAACAAUGAGAUAAAUCCAAGUUUAAGAAUAUACAAGGACUCCCAUGGUAUUUUAAACUAAUAUACAUUGUGCACCUUAUUCCUCAAAGCUUCCUACACGAAUUUGAUAAAGAACAAGCCACUUGAAGAAAAUUCUCAGAUAUAUGAGGUUGGAGACAAAUCACACCAUCUAAAGUAGCUUGAAUGUUGAUCAAGUCAUUAGACCUGGUAUAGGUCAAUUCCAAGAUGAGCAGUUUGAGUAAUGUUUUUUUUUUAUUAUGAUUUAAUAAGUCAUGGAUUUUCAUUUUGAAGCAUGCAACUCAUAAGAGUAAAAAAACUAGACUAUUAGGUUUGUGAGUCAAUUCUUAUAUACAAGUCAUCAUUUAAUUCUCAAUCAAUGUGAUAUUUUCUAAUAAUCUCUUCUUUAUAUGUGAGUUUUAUCCAUAUUAAAUUUUUAAUAAAAACAUUUUCAAUGUAACAAGAAAUUUCAUGUUACUCAUAAGAGUAAUUAUUAGUAGUUUUUUCCAAUGAAAGAAAGCAUUAGAAUAGAGAAAAAGGAGAAAGAAAAUUAGUUUUUUUUUAAAAAAAAAGACUAAGGUAAGAAUAUUCAAGUCAAAUCACUUGAUUUUAAUUUUUUAUUUCGUACCAGUCUCUAUCUCUAUUUUUAAAAUGAGUAUAAGGAGUAACAAUUGGUAAUUAUUAUAUUCUAUUUAUUUGCUGAAAAAUAGUUUUAAUUAAAAGUGAAUUUCUGAAAAGUUGAUUUUUUUAAUGUUUGACAAUGUUAUAGAAAAUAAGUUGAAAAUAUUUUUCAGUGUUUGGUUAUACUUUAAAAAAUAAGUUGGAAAAUCACUUUUUUUUAAAGUUUAUCAAAAGAAUGAAGAUCGAGAAUGAUUUAUGAAAAAGUUGAAGGAAGAUGAAAUUGAAAAAAAAUUAUAAUUUUAAAAAUUGUUUCAGAUAAAACAAAUAGUAAUAAAAAAAAUAUAGACUGAAUUUAAUGAACAAACAAAUUGAAAAGCUAGUUUAAAAAUUUGAAGGGCUAGGUAUGGAAAUUGAAGGGGUGAGAAAAAAAAAGGGGGAAAAAAGGUCACCCACACCAAAUUAGAAAUUGGUACGCUGUACGCGCCGCCUAGAAAGGGAGGGGCCACUGAGACAAUUCUAACUACAUCAAGAAAGGUUGCCUUUAGACACCGUAUGUGGUAUCACAUGCUGGCGCGACCAAUGCAUGUGUCAACCACUUUUUAUUUUAAAAUUAUAUUUUAUGUUUAUCAAAAUACCAAAUUUUCUUUCAGUCAACUUGAUUAUUACUAAAAAACCAAAAUAAAAAUUGGAAACCUUUGAACCCCAGUUUCAUAAAACUUUGAUUUUAAUUGUAAUUUUCAUUUUACUUUACUUUUUUUUUUUUGUAAAAGAUUCAAAAGGAGUUUUCUAGAGUUGAGAGAAGGAAAACACUUUUCUUUGGAAAGACUUAAGCUUUUCCUUCAACUCGAAACCACUUUCUAUUGACUAACUCUCUUAAAGUAAAACAAAUAUGGAAAAUUUUGGAAAAUGAUUUAUAGGAAAAUGUUAUUCAUGAAACAAACGCUCGUGUGAGAUCCACAACUCAAGUAUCAGGUGUUAUCAAGAAUUUACUGCUCUUGCAAGAGCUUGCUAACUAGGAGUGUACAUGUCCUCCUUAGCUAGCAGCCAUUACAAAUCUCAAGUACAAUUACAAAAAUAAAAAACUAAAGGUUAUAGGAUAUUCACUAUGUAGGUAAAGAGAAAACACUAUAGUUUGUAAUAGUGUUCCAUAAUAUUUUCUUUCUUUAUUUUUUUAGAUCUUUGGAUUUUUUUUCAUGUUGGUCCCUCAAUUUAUUUUUUUUAUUUGUUCCUUUGACGUUGUGUUUAUUUUGGAUUAGGCUUGGUGAUUUGUUUCGGCUACCUAGAAUAUAGCUCAUGGUGUUCGAAAAAAAUUACAGAACUCGAUGGAUACUUGGUUUGACAAAAUUUAAUGAGAUUUUAUUGAUUUAAAACAAUUAAAGAUUUUGGAAUUGAAUUUGAAGAUCGAACAAAUAUACAUCCCUUUUUUAGCUACUGCCGUAAGGGGUUGAAUUGAACAAACAAGGAUACAUGUUCAUCCCAUUUGUUUUUUUUUUAUCACUUGAUUUAUUUGGUUUUCAAUUUGAUCCUCUAGAAUUGAGUUUAUAUGAGAUUGGACUUAAUAGUUUGUUUUGGUUGCCUAUAUAUGGGGAUUUUACGGCGUGUAAGAAAAAUCUUGGUGAGUGGUGGAUGCUCAAUUUUAUAAAAUAAAAUUCAAUUUCACUCAUUUAAAUCAAUUAGCGAUUGAGAGACCAUAAUUGACGUUGAAACAAAAGCAGGGACAAAAAUCAUCAGGAAAUAAGGAAUGCUUGGGGCAUGUGUUGCACGGGCCAAUAUGUGAAGAGGUUUGUCGUGCUUUGGAGGUGCACGUGGCCUUCUUUGAUCACCAAAGGUGGCAUUCUGCCAUGUCCUUCAAAGCCUCUUGAAGAGGGCUACUUGUUGAUGUGGCGCAUAGUCACUGAUUAGUGGUAGUGUGUUGCCAACGUUCCACUCUUCUUUUUUCUCUCUCUUAUCUUUCUCUUCUACUCGGGUUUUGUGCAAUGUUUUUUCUCUCUCUUAAUUCUGGUUCUCAUUUUUUUUCAUUUGUGUCUUUUCUAUUCUUUUUAUGGGAAAAUCUCGAUUUCAUGACCCGGGUUGCAGGUUUGGAAGGUUAACCCAUGUUGACUUCAGUCUUUUCUGUUUGGGUCAUUUUUAUUAUUUCUUUUUUCAAGUUCAUCCUUGAAUAUUUGGUCGUUUGGAAUUUAUUUUUAAUUUAUUUUUAUGUUUUUCUUUUUAUAGAGUUAUCAUGGUCACAUGAUUCAGAUCAUGAAUUUUGCAAGAUAAUUAAGGUUAACUCGAGUCAUUUCUUUUGUUAAUUUUUUUAGAUUAAUUGUUUUUCAAUUUCACCAGUUGGCAUUGUGUUGAUUUGGAAAUUGGGCUUCACAAUCCUUUUCAGUCUGUUUUCUACAAGUUUAUCUUGUGGUUCUCGAGUCUGGCAGGUGUACCCGAGUUGACUCGAGUCACCUUUUUUUUUUAUUUUUUCUAAUUUAAUAUUUUCUUUCUCGAUUUAUUUCUUUGACAUUGAGUUGAUUUGGAAUUAGGUUUAAUAUUUUUUUUUCUUUAGGUGAUUUUUUGAUUGAAUUAUUUUUUUGAAUUUCAUCCUUUAUUAUUUGACUAAUUAGAAAUUGAGCGUCAGUCUUUUUUUUCAACUUGCUUUUUAUAGGAAAAUCCUAAUUUAAUGACCUAGGUCGCGGGCUCGGAAGAUUGAGCUAGGUUGACUUGGGGCGUUUCUUCUUGGGGUCUUUUUUAAUUAUUAUUAUUUUUUUCAAUUUCAUCCUUGAAUAUUUUGUUGGUUGAGAAUUGAAUUUUUUAUUUUUUUAUUUUAUUUCUAUGAGAUUAUUACAGUCUCAUCACUCGGGUUGUAAGUUUUGCAAGUUAACUAGGGUUGACUCGAAUAAUUUCUUUUGUCAAUGUUUUUAGAUUUUUUUUUUUCAGAAUUGUGUUGACUUGAGAAUUGGGCUUCGCAAUCCUUUUUAGUUUUUUUUUUUUAUUUUAUUUUAUCCUUGAUCCUUUUUUCUAGUUCAUUUUUUUUUAAAUUUUUUUUAUUCCGAUCUCAUAUUGCGAGUGGCGGGUUAGUAGAGUAAACUCGGGUUGACUCGAGUUUUUUUCUUCAAGUUUCUUUUCUGAAAUUGAUUUUUUUCAAUUUUAUUUUUUGAAAUUAAGUUAUUAGCCCUUGAGUAUUGUGAUUUUUGUUACUUUUCUUUCUACGAGGAUAUCUUAAUUUCAUAUCUUAAGUUACGUGCUAGACAAGUUAACACGAGUUGAUUUAGGUUAUUAUUUCUUGAAUAUAUAUUUUUUAUGUCAGGAAAAAUUUAACUUAACAUGCAGUAUAGUGGGGACAAAAAGAUCUAGUUGUCUUUUUACUCCUUUUAGUCAAUGACAAUUAUUAGCUCUAGAAAUACUUGUGCACUCUGUUGUUGGGAGAUUUGCAUUAUGAAAUCACUUGGUCACACAUAAAUCUGCAUCCGUGAGGACUCUCAUAUAUACAAUGUGCUUCACUUUCAACCUAAAAAAAUUAAAUAAUUUGGUUCUUGUUUUUCUUCUUCUUGUUCUCAACUAAUAGACUUCCAAAUCAUAAUUGCUUGCUUGUUUGGAACCAAAUUAUAUAUAAAAUUAAAUUUAAUUUCAUAUAUAAUUUAAAUUUAAUUAAUAAUCUAUUAUAAUUUUUAUGUUUGAAAUAAAAUACUAAAUCACAUAAUUAAAUUCAAUUCUACUAUUUAAAAUACAUGUGUAAUUAAAUUGAAUUAACAAUCUUGAUUGUUUUGCUUUUAAUUCAGAAAUCAUUUCUUCUUAUUACAAAAAAAAUAUUUCUAUUUGUUAAUGUGAAAGUAGAAUCCAUAACUUUUUUUUAUGAUAAAUCAUAAUGCAUGCAUGAUAUGAUAAAGACAACAAGCAAUAUUAACAUGCAUGACAUAGAAAACAUUAGGAACAAAUGAUUAUUAUUGACAACAUCAUAUUACUUUUUAAGUAAUAAAGAUAUUUUCAUGCCAAUUUUCAUAUAAUUCUCACGGAAUAAAACUAUUUCAUCUACUUUUAAAUAAAACAUAUAUAAUUAACAAUAAUAAAAAUUCAUAUAGUUCUAUUCUAAUAUCUCUUUUUUGUUGAACUUUAAGAUGGUGAUUUUGCUAAUUCUUGUUGACAGUUCCUGUUUCCUUGACAAUAUUUCUGGAAAAAAGCCACCCGAAAAACUUAACCUAUGAAAAUGUGGCUGACAUUAUGAUUUAACUGUUUCCCUCACACAUGGGCCUUCGCAAAAAGAAGUCAUCAGCGUGGCUUAACGUGAUCUAAACCGGGGACCCAUGCAUUGAGUGAGAGGGUAGAUGAAAAAGGUGAACGUUUUGUGUUUGAAAAGGUAUUUUUAAUUUGAAAUUACUGGGAAAAAACUACUUAGAAAACAUUCUUUCCAUAAAAACUAUAAAUGUUACUCAUGAUAAUAUUUUAACUACCCAAUCAAUACAAAACUUGUUCACAACAACAAACAGAGCAAUUGCAGGGGAAAAAGAAGAGCUAAAAUCAUCCACGGAAGUUCCUUUCUGACUAAAACUUAUCUCCAAUAGCUUGCUAGAAGAAGCUCAAGACAUUCUUUGGGCAGCCUCCUUGGCUAUGACUCUCUCCUUAGCUUUGGUCUUAGCCAGAGAUUUGGAACCCAUGAUGCCACCGCCCCAUUUCUUUCGGUGCUCAUCAAACUUAUCAUUGAAGUUAGCCUGCAGUUAAAGGGAACAAAAGUGAAAUAUGCAAAGAAGAAUGAAGUUCAAAAGAGUGGCCAACAAAUUAUAGAAUAUCAAAUCAAAGAAAGAAACCACCUCAAUCAAUAAACCACACAAGCAUCAAAAGCAAUGCUGUUAGAACAAACAAGUUCACUGUGGGAUAAGCAAAUCAAGGACCAGUUGCCUCUCCUUGUGACAUAAAGCUAAUCUUCUAGGAGGAUUACAAAUAUGAAAUUGAAACACCUUUUUUCUCCUUUGGGAUGCACUUUAGAGAUAUCACAUAUAAAGUGCAAAAACAUGGUAGUAAUAUUACCUUGACUGCCUCCAAAACCUUGCUAAAUUCCAAUUUAUCCUCAUUCUUCACUGAUGUAAGGCACAAAACUGAUGCUGUUUUCUUGUGGACAAUCUGUUUUUUAAACAUACAAGUCAUAAAGAUAGUACCGGAGGAUCCAAUUUCCAAAAAAAUCAAUGGUUCUUUUAAUGCAUAGAAAAGGUGUAGAGAAAUCACCGCUCCAAGACGUGACUUGCCCUUCACGAUUGCAUAAGGAACCUCCAUUUUCCGGCACAAUGCAGGCAACCAAACAACAAGCUCAAUUGGAUCAACAUCAUGUGCGAUAACCACCAGCUGGGCCUUGUUCUAUAUGAAUCAAGUAGAGUCUUAGGAAAAAGAUAAGAUAACCUAUACAAAAACACAUCAAUCUGCCAUGCAUGUUCACCAUCCAAGUCAGAUGACAACAUGAAACAAACAAAAAAAAAUGUUGAAAGGAAGGCACCCAAAAAAUAAACGAGGGAGAUAAAAAAUCAAUGUGCAGCAAAAUCAGCCAAGUAACUGAAGAAAUGAGAGGAAAGAGAGUGAGAGAAGAAAAGGUAGAAAACCAAAUUGAAAGCCAUCUUCUCCUACACAAUCAUGAUUAUAACACAACUCCCAUAUAGGUCAAUCAAACUAGCUAAACAAAUCACCAAAUCAUCCAUUACCUAAAUAUUUACAUAGUUAAUCAAGAAAGCCCUAGAAAUCAACAUCUGUACCUGCUCAAUGAGGUAAGUAACAUGGUUAAGACCAUAUUUAAUAACAAUAGGCUUCUUUGUUUCCACAGUCUUCCCCUCAGCUUCAGCUUGUGCUCUCUUAAGAAGCCUUUCCUUCUUAGCAGCCUUGUCCUCAGGUCUAUAUUUUAGGAACAACUUGAAAAGUUGUGUAGC
This 12048-nucleotide long non-coding RNA is filed under the name Populus trichocarpa (black cottonwood). RNAcentral's name for it is "long non-coding RNA (PTRI_LNC001219)". Lineage: Eukaryota; Viridiplantae; Streptophyta; Magnoliopsida; Malpighiales; Salicaceae. The record is from RNAcentral.